GUGUCAGCCGCCGCGGUAAUACGUAGGGUGCAGGCGUUAAUCGGAAUUACUGGGCGUAAAGCGUGCGCAGGCGGUCUUUUAAGUCAGAUGUGAAAUCCCCGGGCUUAACCUGGGAACUGCGUUUGAAACUGGAAGGCUUGAGUGUGGCAGAGGGGGGUGGAAUUCCACGUGUAGCAGUGAAAUGCGUAGAGAUGUGGAGGAACACCGAUGGCGAAGGCAGCCCCCUGGGCUAACACUGACGCUCAUGCACGAAAGCGUGGGGAGCAAACAGGAUUAGAAACCCCGGUAGUCC
RNAcentral lists this ribosomal RNA (292 nucleotides) under uncultured bacterium. Its description in RNAcentral is "partial 16S ribosomal RNA". It matches the Rfam family "Bacterial small subunit ribosomal RNA", at positions 505 to 796 of the family's 1533-position model. The record is from RNAcentral.